GCUGCACGACUCGUGCUUCCCCUCGCGGAUGGAUGUAUUUUUCUCUCCGCACGUCGCUGCGGGCUGUAGGAGUUCUCUCUGCUCCUCCAAAUUUUGUCCCAAACCCUCUCCUAAUGACAUUUUUUUGAAAGAUUUUUUUGUGUAUGCGAGUUUCUCCUGGCUGUGUCACGUUCUGAAGUGCAGGCAGGUGGCAGUGAAACCAUUGCUGCAUGUUGCACUCUGAAAAACAGUGUUCUGAAAAACAUCCCAAUUUGGGGUUUCGUUGUUUCUGUCCAGCACUUCUAGUCUUAAUAAUCACCAUUUGAAUGAGAAUGCAUAUGUACUGAGAUAUAUGGGGUAAUAAUUUGCGUCAAGAAGAUAUUAAUAAAGAAGGGGGAGAUGUGGGAGUGUGGCCAUGGGGGUCGACAAGCCCCAUGGUUGGUGAUAACAUCAGACACUUACCGAUGAGGCCAUCAGGAAUGUAAAAGAGUUCAGAGGGAACAAAGAAGGGUGGUUCAGGAGAUGCCACGCCGUCUGGGGUUGCUUGUUCUGCAGCCCUUAUACAUGGAAGAUUCCGGUCACCAGGCAAAAAUGUGUGACCAAUGAAAAAGUCAUGGAAGGUAUGGGAGCACUUCAACCAGGAUUCCCAACUCCAACUAUGCUCCCCCAGUCAUGGACAUUAAUAGUAAUAGACUUAAAGCAUUGUUUGUUAAACACUUGCCGGAAUUCGGAAAACUUUGCCAUGUUUAUGUUUCAGUUGAUACCUUUUCCAAUUGUACAUAUGCAUAGGCAUACUCGGGUUUCUUAUGAAUAUGUAAAAGCAAUGUUCUGUAUAUUUAGAAAGUUCGAUGUUCGUGUGUGCGUUUUGGUAGAGCGUAGACUCCCCUUGCACCCGGCGCUGUUUACUUGCCUUUUAUAAAUAUUACUAAAUUCAGAUUGAGUUGUAUCUUCAGUUAUAACAGUACCAUAGACCUGUGUAGGAAAAAAAGUAAUAGUUAAUGACUUCUGAUACAACCCAUUCACAAACUGAGAGUUGAUUUUUUAUUAUAUAUUUUUUUGAAGUUACAUCACAUUAAUGUCUGAUCAUAACUGGUUAUUUAUACAGCCAGCACUUCAUAAUGGUUACAAUUGCAUCCUACAUCGUAGUGCAGAAAAGGACUGAUUUUGUGAGCGGCCUGGCUCCUCCGUGAGGCGGGCUUGGUUCUAUGCUACAUGUAAGGUAGUCAGGAAGCCUCUGCAUAGCAGGUAAGAGAACUCGUCAAAACAUCUUGUCAUCAAGGAAAAAGGCCUCAGCUGACCAACACUUCCCCCUGUCAGGUUUUUAGAAAAGACAGAAGUGUCAGCAAGUUUGCCUUGGUGCUGGGAAUGUGUUGUUUGCUCUGGAGAUAAGCAGUUAUUUGGUCAACAUUUCUGCAUUCUUGACUGCUGACUAUUGCUGUUCUCCAUUAGGCAUAUCUGCUGGCUUUGAAAAAUAAUACAGUUGAGGUCAGCACCAAGAGGGAUGCUGCUGAGCUUUGAGCUGAAGAGGUUGAGGGUUCCUUGAACUCUGUUCUCCCAGCUUUGCUGAUGAGAUGGGGACCUCUGACAGAGGGGAGGUGACAAACAGGCUCAUCUUGCUGUUGUAAAAUACAGAACAUCAUAAAAUGAACAAUAAAGAAGGACAAAGAGCUAACUGGGCACAGCAAGAACACAAGUGAAGCUAAGACUGGAAGGCAGAAAACAUAAGCAUAUAUGGCAACUUCCCUAUGCUUGAGAGGGUCAUUGUUAAUUGAAAAUAAACUUUGCUUCUUGCUGUUUGCUUGACUGCUUUUAAAAGGUCUUCUUGAUACCUGUGGGAGUUGCAUGCACAGACAGAUGUAAUAAGCUCUGCAGGUGAAAAUUCUGAAAAUAGUUGCCCGCAUACAAGCGUGGCUUCAGUUUGCUGCUAGAAUGGGAAGAAAUAUAUGGAGUUAAUGUAGAAAGCUGAUCUCUAUGUCUUUAACAGCCAAAGUAUGCCUGGAAUACGUUUAAGCCACAAAUUUAUAUACUUUUACAACAACUACACUAAUUGCAUGGAAAAAUAUGUAUAUAGAUUUGGUGACUUGUGUGAAACACGGAUGAAUGACUUAACUGCAUAAAUAAUUACUAUAUAUUUUUAAAUGAGGUAAGGGCCUAUUGAACUGAAAAAUAACUUCAAAGUCAUUUCAGCUCCAUAAGACCUUUUGCCCUGAGAUCCUGGUAACUUUAAUUUAUACACUUUUGGUGUGCCUCUGGU
This is a long non-coding RNA of Anas platyrhynchos (mallard), 2233 nucleotides long. RefSeq lists it as uncharacterized. The record is from RefSeq and is a predicted model, not a curated record. Lineage: Eukaryota; Metazoa; Chordata; Aves; Anseriformes; Anatidae.